Molecule: ribosomal RNA, 442 nt
Filed under: uncultured bacterium
Lineage: Bacteria
Description: bacterial SSU rRNA
Rfam family: Bacterial small subunit ribosomal RNA
Source: RNAcentral
AACGCGAAGAACCUUACCUACUUUUGACAUGUUGCGAAGGAUUCUGAGAAGGAUCUGUGCCGAAAGGAACGCAAACACAGGUGCUGCAUGGCUGUCGUCAGCUCGUGUCGUGAGAUGUUGGGUUAAGUCCCGUAACGAGCGCAACCCCUAUUCUUGGUUGCUAACAGGUAAUGCUGAGGACUCAAAGAAGACUGCCGGUGACAAACCGGAGGAAGGUGGGGAUGACGUCAAGUCAUCAUGGCCUUUAUAAGUAGGGCUACACACAUGCUACAAUGGCGCGUACAGAGGGGAGCGAACCUGCGAAGGGGAGCGAAUCCUAAAAAACGCGUCGUAGUCCGGAUUGGAGUCUGCAACUCGACUCCAUGAAGCUGGAAUCGCUAGUAAUCGCGAAUCAGAACGUCGCGGUGAAUACGUUCCCGGGCCUUGUACACACCGCGUGUCU